RNAcentral lists this ribosomal RNA (541 nucleotides) under uncultured bacterium. RNAcentral's name for it is "bacterial SSU rRNA". It matches the Rfam family "Bacterial small subunit ribosomal RNA", at positions 777 to 1318 of the family's 1533-position model. The record is from RNAcentral.
AAUAGAUACCCGGGUAGUCCAUGCCGUAAACGUUGGGUGCUAGACGUGGGGGCCUUUCCACGGUUCCCGUGUCGUAGCUAACGCAUUAAGCACCCCGCCUGGGGAGUACGGCCGCAAGGCUAAAACUCAAAGGAAUUGACGGGGGCCCGCACAAGCGGCGGAGCAUGCGGAUUAAUUCGAUGCAACGCGAAGAACCUUACCAAGGCUUGACAUAUAGAGGAAACGGCCAGAGAUGGUCGCCCCGCAAGGUCUCUAUACAGGUGGUGCAUGGUUGUCGUCAGCUCGUGUCGUGAGAUGUUGGGUUAAGUCCCGCAACGAGCGCAACCCUUGUCCUAUGUUGCCAGCGGUUCGGCCGGGAACUCAUGGGAGACUGCCGUGGUCAACACGGAGGAAGGUGGGGAUGACGUCAAAUCGAUCAUGCCCCUUAUGUCUUGGGCUUCACGCAUGCUACAAUGGCCGGUACAGAGGGCUGCGAUACCGCGAGGUGGAGCGAAUCCCUUAAAGCCGGUCUCAGUUCGGAUUGGGGUCUGCAACUCGACCC